UUAAAAUGUAAAUUGAUUUAUUAGAGUAGUAUUAGUUAAGGUCUUGAAAUUUAAAAAUUUUGGCGGUAUUUUAGUCUAUUCAGAGGAAUCUGUUCUGUAAUUGAUAGUCCACGAUAAAUUAUACUUAAUUUAAAAAUUUGUAUAUCAUCGUUAUUAAAUAUUUUAUAAGAAUUUAAAUGUUUAAAAUUUUAUAUUAAAAAGUAUAUCAGAUCAAGGUGCAGUUUAUAUUUAAGAAGAAAUGGAUUACAAUAAAUUUAUUUAUGAUGGAUUUAUAUAUUAAAAUAUAUAAUGAAAGUGGAUUUGAUAGUAAUAAAAUUUAUAUAGAUUUUAUGAUUUAAGCUCUAAAAUGUGU
Molecule: ribosomal RNA, 352 nt
Filed under: Necterosoma susanna
Lineage: Eukaryota; Metazoa; Arthropoda; Insecta; Coleoptera; Dytiscidae
Description: partial 12S ribosomal RNA
Source: RNAcentral